This 497-nucleotide ribosomal RNA is filed under the name uncultured bacterium. RNAcentral's name for it is "partial 16S ribosomal RNA". It matches the Rfam family "Bacterial small subunit ribosomal RNA", at positions 28 to 507 of the family's 1533-position model. The record is from RNAcentral.
GACGAACGCUGGCGGCGUGCCUAAUACAUGCAAGUAGAACGCUGAAGCGAGGAGCUUACUCUUCUUGGAUGAGUUGCGAACGGGUGAGUAACGCGUAGGUAACCUGCCUUGUAGCGGGGGAUAACUAUUGGAAACGAUAGCUAAUACCGCAUAACAAUGGAUGACACAUGUCAUUUAUUUGAAAGGGGCAAUUGCUCCACUACAAGAUGGACCUGCGUUGUAUUAGCUAGUAGGUGAGGUAAUGGCUCACCUAGGCGACGAUACAUAGCCGACCUGAGAGGGUGGUCGGCCACACUGGGAGUGAGACCGGGCCCAGACGCCUACGGGAGGCAGCAGUAGGGAAUCUUCGGCAAUGGGGGCAAACCUGACCGAGCAACGCCGCGGGAGGGAAGAAGGUUUUCGGAUCGGAAAGCUCGGUUGUAAGUCAAGAACGGGUGUGAGAGUGGAAAGUUCACACUGUGACGGUAGCUUACCAGAAAGGGACGGCUAACUACGUG